RNAcentral lists this ribosomal RNA (432 nucleotides) under uncultured bacterium. Its description in RNAcentral is "bacterial SSU rRNA". It matches the Rfam family "Bacterial small subunit ribosomal RNA", at positions 30 to 506 of the family's 1533-position model. The record is from RNAcentral.
CGAACGCUGGCGGCAUGCCUAAUACAUGCAAGUCGAACGCCUGGAGCAAUCCAGGAGUGGCGGACGGGUGAGUAACACGUGGGAAUCUGCCCAACGGUGUGGAACAACCGAGGGAAACUUCGGCUAAUACCGCAUACGCCCUUACGGGGAAAGAUUUAUCGCCGUUGGAGGAGCCCGCGUCCGAUUAGCUAGUUGGCGGGGUAACGGCCCACCAAGGCGACGAUCGGUAACUGGUCUGAGAGGACGACCAGUCACACUGGGACUGAGACACGGCCCAGACUCCUACGGGAGGCAGCAGUAGGGAAUAUUGGACAAUGGGGGAAACCCUGAUCCAGCAAUGCCGCGUGAGUGAUGAAGGCCUUAGGGUUGUAAAGCUCUUUCGCCCACGACGAUGAUGACGGUAGUGGGAGAAGAAGCCCCGGCUAACUUCGU